AAGUCACUAAAUCCGGAGAUUGUUUUUUUAAUUUCGCUUUCAGUAAAAAAUAAUAGGGAUCACAUUUGUAAUGCGCAAAGAAAUCUACAUUUUAACACCCUUAACAAUGAGGUCUACCAUACUGUCAAUAGUGGUUUGAGAGAUUUGCCUGCAGUUGAGCUAUCUACACUUCCUUUAAUACUGAAGGUUCAAACUGAUUCUUUUGUUCAUUUUUUAAUGCAAUCUUAGUUUUCAUUUUCUUCUUUAAGUGUUCUUUUUUGUUAUUUAUUUCUCAAUCCUUUCUGCCAUGAUCAUAAUGGUGCUGAUUAAAAUAUUUAUGGAUUUAGCUACUUCUUCUUGUUGCACUGGUUGCUGACUUCUUCUUCUUCUUCUUCUUCUUCUUCUUCUUGCACUAGUUGCUGACGUUAACUGCUUUUAGUGGUUGUAUAUCUAACUAUUGACCUCUAAUUGCAUGAAAUUUUCUUACACAAAUUUAAUAUAUACACGUAAGUAAUUAAAAAAUCUUUCCCUUAAGCUAUUUCUUGCCUCUCACGUCUUUAGGGAUGCGGGCCGGGCUACUUGUUCAUGAGAAAACUAAACCCCUUAAGCUGUCCAUCCAGCCCAGUUAAGGCCAACCAUUUCGUGAAUGCAGUGGCUGAUGAAAAAAUGGCUAUUUUAGAGGAUUCGA
Molecule: long non-coding RNA, 667 nt
Organism: Cornus florida
Lineage: Eukaryota; Viridiplantae; Streptophyta; Magnoliopsida; Cornales; Cornaceae
Exons: 3
Source: RefSeq, a predicted model, not a curated record